UCUUUAUUUUUUCAAAUGUGCAGCCUUAUUCAUACUACCUUUUGUUAGAAAAAUGAAAGAAGAGAAGGCAUAGAAAUGAGCUUGGUAACUAGCAUUCUUGUAGGUGGAUUUGCCAAAAUGGAAAAUGUAGACACUUUUGGGUUGCCAUUUCAAUUGUCUUCUUUGUUGCUGCUACAUUAUUUACUCUACUGAAACUUUGUGAUUUAAUCUUCCCCAGGUUGUAAAGUAUAUUUUGGUCUUAGAUAGCCAGCCAAGACCAAUCUGAC
Molecule: long non-coding RNA, 266 nt
Organism: Cucumis sativus (cucumber)
Lineage: Eukaryota; Viridiplantae; Streptophyta; Magnoliopsida; Cucurbitales; Cucurbitaceae
Exons: 3
Source: RefSeq, a predicted model, not a curated record